Acanthopagrus latus (yellowfin seabream) is the source of this 698-nucleotide long non-coding RNA. RefSeq lists it as uncharacterized. The transcript has 4 exons. Lineage: Eukaryota; Metazoa; Chordata; Actinopteri; Spariformes; Sparidae. The record is from RefSeq and is a predicted model, not a curated record.
AGCCUAAAAGCGGCCAUUUUGUGCCUCCCUGAUGAAAGGCCUCGAUGGCUGCAACAUGUCGGCAUGUUGUUUUUCUUUAAAUGUGAUAAAUUAAAGUGUUUUAACUGGUUUGAGGGCACAAGAGGACGGCGGAGAGGACAUCCUUCAUCUCCUCUACAGCAGUGAGCCGCCGUCAGAGCUCGAAGGAGGAAAGAAAACAACAAAAUCAAAGAUGGUGUGUUUCUGUGCAUGCGUCUCCAGCCGGCCUGCUAUCAGAGCUGACAGGAAACAGGCGAAGGCCCCCGGGGCCCCGGGCUCCUUCUUCCCCUGCAGCCCCACCUCCACAGGAAAGCCCCCAGACUGCCGCCCAAAUACCUCCACAGAUUCUUCCUCUCCCUCCCUCUCAGAUGCAGCGAGAGGCCCUUCGCGGCUUCGCCUCGCUUCCACCGCGGGCCUCGGAAAUACCUGAGACCCCCGAGCGCGGUCGCCGUUAGUCUGCUGCUGCGCUUUGACCGAAAUUCAGUGCCGAGAGGUUCAAACUGCAGAUGUUCACGCUCAGAUUCAAACCGCUGCUCGAAUCUGAGACUUUGGAUUCUGAUUUAAUGUGCUGAACGCCUGAAACAAGAGCAGACUGCUGAUCUGUAAUAUUAUAUCAUACAUUUUUAUGUUUUAAUUCAAAGUAACACAAUUUUGUUAUUAAAUAAAAUGUUUCUGCUGAA